Molecule: ribosomal RNA, 228 nt
Filed under: uncultured bacterium
Lineage: Bacteria
Description: partial 16S ribosomal RNA
Rfam family: Bacterial small subunit ribosomal RNA
Source: RNAcentral
UUCGCAGGCGGCGUAUUAAGUCAGUGGUGAAAUCCCUCGGCUCAACCGAGGAACUGCCAUUGAUACUGGUAUGCUAGAGUAUAGUUGGCGUAGGCGGAAUGUAUCAUGUAGCGGUGAAAUGCUUAGAUAUGAUACAGAACACCGAUCGCGAAGGCAGCUUACGAAACUAUAACUGACGCUCAGGAACGAAAGCGUGGGGAGCGAACAGGAUUAGAUACCCUGGUAGUC